UUAAAAAUGAAGCCGGGAAACCGGUCCUUCUAACCCUUGAUUAUUUUCACUUGUUGCUUUGGUAGGUCGCGAGCGCUUAGGCGUGAGCACCGGCUUUUGGGCUGGAGAGUGCCUACCAGAGGACCCCAACUCUGUAAUUUAUGUCGUCUGAGUACUAUAAAAUAGUUAAAACUUUCAACAACGGAUCUCUUGGUUCUGGCAUCGAUGAAGAACGCAGCGAAAUGCGAUAAGUAAUGUGAAUUGCAGAAUUCAGUGAAUCAUCGAAUCUUUGAACGCACAUUGCGCCCUCUGGUAUUCCGGAGGGCAUGCCUGUUCGAGCGUUAUAAUGACCAACUCACCGUAAUGGUGGUCUUGGGGAUGGCCGAUAGGCCUCCCUUAAAACUAGUGGCGGUGCCGUCGAGCUCUAAGCGUAGUAAUUUCCUCGCUAUAGCGCCUCGGUGGUUACUAGCCAGAACCCCAAAUUAUACAAGGUUAACCUCGGAUCAGGUAGGGAUACCCGCUGAACUUAAGCAUAUCA
RNAcentral lists this ribosomal RNA (517 nucleotides) under fungal endophyte. RNAcentral's name for it is "eukaryotic LSU rRNA". The stretch from base 170 to 323 matches the Rfam family "5.8S ribosomal RNA". Lineage: Eukaryota; Fungi. The record is from RNAcentral.